UAACUGGUUAAACUUAAAGCCGAUAUUUUCUAUCGAACUAGUCUAUUUUCUGUUCAGACACAAAGUUUUCUGAUGCUGAUAUUAUGUCAGUGUGUGUUUGUGUGGGGGUCGUGUGAUGUAAUCUUUGAAAGUUUAUGACCGAACCUUUAUUGGGGAGCAACAAGAGAUCUCCCGGAAUCAGUUUGGAUGGAGCAGAGCUGUUAUACUCAAGUCUAUUGCGAAAUUGUCUAAACUGGUAUUAACUAUUCCUGGUAAAUCGCGGAGAAGAGUGGUCUGAACAAAAAAGUCAGCCCGAGACUAGAACCUCCCGCAGCGUAACAAGGAAAUCUUGGAACAAAAGAGACGCCGAGUGGAUCGUGUUGUGCGAUUGGAUAUCAGAGGCAAAGCGAGUAUUGUGUGUACUAUUGCAAAUAUAUAUAUAUCGGAUCUCCACGGUUAGGAUACAGACCACAACGCUUUGGACGUAUCUUUAAAAAAGAGAAAAAUCAGAGACUUUUUGGAUUUGUCUGGGGACAUUUUAAACAUUUUGUGUCAAAUUGGAUUUAAAACAUUUCGGAUACUGGAUACCUAGUUUGAUUUGUCCACAGAGCUUGUUUAAGACGUUUUCACCUCAUUUUAGGGUUUAUUUUUAAUUAAAGGCUUCUUAAAACAUGUAUGAAAAUGUGUAUAUUAUACAAUGAGUCUUAUAUUGUCUGCUCUGACAAAAAUAAAUUAUUAUUUUAGAUCUUA
Molecule: non-coding RNA, 729 nt
Organism: Paramisgurnus dabryanus
Lineage: Eukaryota; Metazoa; Chordata; Actinopteri; Cypriniformes; Cobitidae
Source: RefSeq, a predicted model, not a curated record